RNAcentral lists this transfer RNA (74 nucleotides) under Caudoviricetes sp. Its description in RNAcentral is "tRNA-Met". It matches the Rfam family "tRNA". Rfam says of the family: Transfer RNA (tRNA) molecules are approximately 80 nucleotides in length. The record is from RNAcentral. Lineage: Duplodnaviria; Heunggongvirae; Uroviricota; Caudoviricetes.
GGACCGGUAGCUCAGUUGGUCAGAGCGUUCGGCUCAUAACCGAAGUGUCGGGGGUUCGAGUCCUCUACGGUCCA